GACGAACGCUGGCGGCGUGCUUAACACAUGCAAGUCGAACGGAAAGGCCCUGCUUUUGUGGGGUGCUCGAGUGGCGAACGGGUGAGUAACACGUGAGUAACCUGCCCUUGACUUUGGGAUAACUUCAGGAAACUGGGGCUAAUACCGGAUAGGAGCUCCUGCUGCAUGGUGGGGGUUGGAAAGUUUCGGCGGUUGGGGAUGGACUCGCGGCUUAUCAGCUUGUUGGUGGGGUAGUGGCUUACCAAGGCUUUGACGGGUAGCCGGCCUGAGAGGGUGACCGGCCACAUUGGGAUGGAGAUACGGCACAGACUACUACGGGAGGCAGCAGUGGGGAAUAUUGCACAAUGGGCGGAAGCCUGAUGCAGCAACGCCGCGUGCGGGAUGACGGCCUUCGGGUUGUAAACCGCUUUCGCCUGUGACGAAGCGUGAGUGACGGUAAUGGGUAAAGAAGCACCGGCUAACUACGUG
This 468-nucleotide ribosomal RNA is filed under the name uncultured bacterium. Its description in RNAcentral is "partial 16S ribosomal RNA". It matches the Rfam family "Bacterial small subunit ribosomal RNA", at positions 28 to 507 of the family's 1533-position model. The record is from RNAcentral.